GAUCCUGGCUCAGGAUGAACGCUAGCUACAGGCUUAACACAUGCAAGUCGAGGGGCAGCAUGAACUUAGCUUGCUAAGUUUGAUGGCGACCGGCGCACGGGUGAGUAACACGUAUCCAACCUGCCGAUGACUCGGGGAUAGCCUUUCGAAAGAAAGGUUAAUACCCGAUGGCAUAGUUCUUCCGCAUGGUAGAACUAUUAAAGAACUUCGGUCAUCGAUGGGGAUGCGUUCCAUUAGGUUGUUGGG
RNAcentral lists this ribosomal RNA (246 nucleotides) under uncultured bacterium. RNAcentral's name for it is "partial 16S ribosomal RNA". It matches the Rfam family "Bacterial small subunit ribosomal RNA", at positions 15 to 253 of the family's 1533-position model. The record is from RNAcentral.